AAGAAGCACAUGAAAGGUGUGUCUCGGAUUACUUUUGUGGACUCCAGGCACACUACAGCCUCUGUGACUACAAUUUCCUUCCUGGUAAAUUUGCUUCCCUAGCUCAUUCUUUAUCCCUGCAUAGAGAAGGAAGCAUCAAGCUUCAGCUUGCCUGCCAGCUCCAUUUGAGUCCCAUUCUGACUUUUCAUCCUGGGCCUCUCAAUUGCCAGAGUGAAGCCACACACAAACUGGAGGAUCAGAACCUCAUCAUCUGCUUGGGUAGCUUACGAUCCAAAGGUUGCAUUAGACUAGCAUGUAGACCGUCUGAACUAGAUUGGGUAAGUACGGGCAUGGGUGUCCAUGGGUAAUGACUGCCUGCAAAAUCUGGGCACUCAAUUGCGAUGUUUCUCCAUGAUGAAACUGGGCCUCUAAUCAUCUACAACUUGCCAAAUAUUUUUUCAAGUCUGUCAUCCUAACGCCAUAAAUCCAUGUCUGAUGGUACAAGAACACUGGUGGUAAAUGCAAAGCCUGGUGCAUGCUUUAGACAAGGACUAUUCAUAUGACGACCUUCUGACUGCUGAUUAUGGAUGGAAUAACAUCGGUCAACUCCACUUGCCGUCAUCAGAUUUCAGUUGAAGCAUGCAGAGUACAUCCUCAUCGUGCCUCAAAAAGGCAACCAGCAUCAUCAGGGACCCACACCACCCUGGCCACACAAUAAUUUCACUCCUGCCUUCAGGAUGAACAUAUAGCCUGAAAACUGUAACGUCCAGGUUCAGGAACAGCUUCUUCCCUACAGACUUUAAACACUACAACACUAAGCUCUGAAUUCCAUAGACUUGGAGGCAUUGGUUUUGUCUUUUUGCACUAUUAUUGUUUGUUUGUUUGUUUUUAUGUGAAUGUUUAAUCGAUUUAAACCAGCAUCUGCCGUUCUUUCCUUAUUCUGUUGUGCUGCUGAAAGUAAGAAUUUAAUUGUUCUGUCUGGGACACAGCGAUAAAACACUCUUGAUUCUUGACUCUACAUCUGAGGAACAAUACGUCUGUCAAAGCAACAUUUCAGUGUUAAAAUAAGAAUGCUCUAAAUUCAUAUCAGGUCAGGCAAUAGCUGCAAAGACAACGACUGAGUUGAUAUUUCAAUCCGAUAAAAGUUCAUCAACCUGGAACGUUAUCACCAUCCAGCAUUGGGAUUUUAGUGCAGAUUUCCAGCAUCCGCAGUAUUUUUGCUUCUGAACAUAUCCUCAGUGCUACAUUUAAUGUCAGUGUCUGCUCACAUCUCUGAGUGAUGCACAAAACUUAAACCACGCAAAUUAGCAAUGAAUGUAAGGAUCACCACAAUAGACAUUAACUUUCAGACGUGAAACUGAGCCUCUUCGAUAAGGACUGCAAGACGAUGUCAUUUCUCCUAUGAUCAGAGAGGAGGAAUCUUUAUUUUUAGGGGACUAACAAGCUUGCUGGAGUCAAAACACAAUACUCGGCUCUAGUGGUUUUAAAUAUGAUGUCUAUUUUUAGUUGUUUAUUAUUAUAUUCAGCAAGGACUUGGUACCUUGCCUUACUUGGAAUGGCAGCUCUGAGCUUGUGAAGCAGGUAAAAUAUCCAAGACUGGCUUGGAUAUGUGUCUGCUCAAAAUACUGUGAUCUUCCCACGUUAGUUCACAACAUAUUUUGUCAUCUGGCUGGGAGAUAAUAGCUACUAUCCUCCGGUUGGAAGCCAUUGAUGUUUACAGUACUUGCACAUGAAGGAAUUUAUUUUUAAACUAUCAGCCCAAACUGUAAAAUUUCAAGUCAGCUAUGUCACACCUCUGCUUUGAGAAAUCGUAUGACUGAAUAUUGUAUUGAAUGCAUCCUACAUGUUACGUUUAUUGCAAAAUUGUAUCGAGCAUAAUUUGCUCUGACUUCUAAUAGGUGUUCUCUAAAGGGCGACACAGUGGCACAGUGGUAGAGCUGCUGCCUCACAGCGCUGGAGACCUGAGUUCAAUCCUGACUGCGGGUGCUGUCUGUACGGAGUUUGUACGUUUUUUUUGUGACCACGUGGGUUUUCUCAGGUGACCCAGUUUCCUCCCACAUUCUAAAGACAUACAGGUUAAUUGUAGGUUAAUUGGCUUCUGUAAAAUGCCCCUAGUGUGUAGGGUGCGAAAGUGGGAUAAUAUUGAACUAGUGCGAACAGGUAAUCAAUGAUUGAUGUGGACUUAAUGGGCCUCUAAAACUAAAAAUAAAAAAACUAAAAAUAAAAUAAAAAUAAAAAUGAAUAUUCACUUCAACCUUGAUAUACAUCUGGAACAUUUACACUUCUCACUGCUUUAUGAACAUGAUGGAAAUUUCACACUGUCUAGUAAUGUCUGUGAGCCGGUUUGCUGGUCUAUACAAAUAACUUGAACAAAAAUAUCUCUGAUUUUCCUGGUUGUGUCACCUUGCAUCAAAUUUAGCAAUGAUGUUGUCGGAGCCAGUCAGAUUCAGUUUACUCAAUGCAGCAGUGACCACUGUGCAAUUGGGUCCUUGUCUUUCAACAUUCCUCCUUCUUAAUACCUAGUGAUCUUGUUUGAUUUAGCAAAGCAUGGAAACUCUCAAGAGAAGAUUGGAAUGUUCUUAUAUUUUGAUGUCUGUUUAAUCAAUUCAGUUUUUUUUUUAAAUAUUGGGUUGAAUGUAUUAACCUAAAGGAGAAAUAACUAAUAUGUUAAGAUUCGUCUUUCAAAGAGGAUUCAUGCUAUUAUAGAAGCAGUGUGCAGUGGGGAGCAAAGAGCAAAAGAUUGGCCUGUAUUCACCCUGUCAAUUGCAGCAAUACUGAUAAAGUAAUGGUGCAGAACUGCGAAGUGGUCUCAAGAUUCAAGAUUCAAGAAAUUUAUUGCCAUGUCAACAAGUUGAUAGGAAUGUGUCUUGGUUCGCUCUCAGACAGAUACAAUACAAUACAGUACAAUACAAUACACCACAAUAAAUAAUAGACAAUACCGUACAAAGGACAAUAUGUACAGGAAGGACAGUACCCAGCAGCGUCAUAUUAAGCGUAAGUGCAAGUGCAAAAGAAAGUGCAAAGUGAUUAGUGCAAAUUCAAAUA
Leucoraja erinaceus (little skate) is the source of this 3024-nucleotide long non-coding RNA. RefSeq lists it as uncharacterized. The transcript is spliced from 6 exons. NCBI's taxonomy places the organism in Eukaryota, Metazoa, Chordata, Chondrichthyes, Rajiformes, Rajidae. The record is from RefSeq and is a predicted model, not a curated record.